This 1584-nucleotide long non-coding RNA is filed under the name Apis florea (little honeybee). RNAcentral describes it as "uncharacterized LOC105734924". The record is from RNAcentral. Lineage: Eukaryota; Metazoa; Arthropoda; Insecta; Hymenoptera; Apidae.
UUGGUUAGAUCUCGCUUUUCACGCUUAUUUUCGACGGUUUUCAAAAGGCACACCGUCUCACCGUGUCUCUGUCAACUGUUCCCUAUUGUUAUCUUGGAGUCGAGCCGGAAACGGACACCGGUUUCUUAACGACUUUUCGACACCAGACGGGACUUCUACCUGCCGAGAGCUCAGAAUGGAAUGUGGGCCUGGCAGGUGCGUAAGGCGCGUGUACAUGUGGACGAGCCUUAACGUCUCGUAGGAAAGCUGCGUGCAGUCGAUCGAGAACGAGAUAAUACGAACGAAUUUUGGGUCACGGAUAUUUCGAAGAGAAUAUUGCUGGCUGGCUCCAAGAAUUUUUCCUCGUCAUUUUGGAACGUUUCUCAAAGAUAUAACGUCAAAGUUUAUAGUUUUUUUUUUUUUAUAGUUCCCCGAGAAUUUCCAAGGAAAAAGAAGUUGACCCGUUGUUGGAACACUUCCAAUGGAACUUUACCCAAGAAUAUCGAGACACAUUUUUCAAAAAAUUUAUUAGUUAACGUAGUUAACUAGUAAUGGAUGAAGAUAGAUUCGUAAAAAGAUAAUGAAUAAUAUAACGCAUAAUUAGGAGAUCGAGUAUUUUUCGAACCAACUGUACAUUUCCACGUAUAUAUUACGCGAUGGAGGAAAAAGAUGAGAGAAAAGAUGACGUAGAUGACCGCGUCGCUAUACGAUUUACGUAUAUUCACUCGUUCGACGGAUAACAUAUUCAUCGAAAGUAUGGAUUCCACGGCAAAUUUGUGUCACGACCGAAAUAAUACGGCUGUUUCGCGUGGCCAUGGAUGCAAACGACGCGUGAAAAGAAGUUGGUGUAAACCCUGUUUCUAAAAUUUCGUCAAUUGAACCUUGCGAUCUGACUUUUUCAUUCCAUAAUGGUAUAAUUAUCUUAUCUUGAAUUCCGAAGAAAUCGUUCGUUUACAUAUAAUGAAAUGUUGACUCAUCGUUGGACAAGGAGGAUGAUGUUGCAAUAGAGGAGAAAUUUGAAUGAAUAUUCAAAUUUUUUUUUUUAUGAAUAUAUUGUUGGAAGGAUAAUUAAUAGUUGGUAGAACGAUAUUCUAAAUUCAUAAGUUUAUUGUAUAAAUAAAGUACUUUUCAAAAAUUCAUAUUUCGUUGCUUAAUUUUCAGAAUUUUAUAGACGAAGCAAGAUUCGAUUUUGAUAUAAGAUUCAAGAUAUUGAAAAGUUGAUGUGUAGACGAUAAUAUCUUUUGUAAGCUGCUUAAAUAACGCGUUAAACGAACAUUGAUGGAUUGUAUAGUGGAACGAUUAUUGAUAGACAUUGUAUAAUGUGGAUUAAACAAUGGAACGACACAAUAGCACCUUGAUGAACAGAAUACAGCUGUCGAAACUAUUUCUUUUUUUUCUAACUGCUAAAUGCCGCUAAAUGAAACAAGAGAUUGAAACUAAAAGUUGAGUGAAACAAAUUUGUGGUGUAAUUAAUUAUAAAAUUGAAGAAGACGAAAUCGAAUACGAACGACGACACACUUGUUAACAGUGGCAGAAAAUUACACGUAACGAACCAAGUGAUAUUUUUAUUAAAGAAAAGAUAAAACGUUGGAAAGUGAAAAGAGA